CAAAGAUUAAGCCAUGCAAGUGUCAGUUCAUGCCAAACUAAGGUGAAACCGCGAAAGGCUCAUUAAAUCAGUUAUAGUUUACUUGAUGGCAUGACGUUAACGUUACUUGGAUAACUGUGGCAAUUCUAGAGCUAAUACAUGCACUCGAGUCCCGACCGCUCGCGCGGAAGGGAUGCUUUUAUUAGAUCAAAACCAAUCGGGAAAUCGCGCGCCCGUGCGCGAGACCCGGCGGGCCCGAGCGGCACGUCGGGACUCCCUCGCCUCGGGGUCGAAAAACGCGUCGACGUACCGUACAGUCUUGGUGACUCUGGAUAAAUUGUCGCUGAUCGCAAGGUCGAUUUGAAGCACCUGCGACGCAUCUUUCAAAUGUCUGACUUAUCAACUAUCGACGGUAUGCCACGUGCCUACCGUGGUGGUAACGGGUAACGGGGAAUCAGGGUUCGAUUCCGGAGAGGGAGCCUGAGAAACAGCUACCACAUCCAAGGAAGGCAGCAGGCGCGCAAAUUACCCACUCCCGGCACGGGGAGGUAGUGACGAAAAAUAACGAUGCAGAACUCUUUUCCGAGGCUCUGCAAUCGGAAUGAGAAGACUCUAAAUCAUUUACCGAGUAUCCAUUGGAGGGCAAGUCUGG
RNAcentral lists this ribosomal RNA (631 nucleotides) under Cummingsia maculata. Its description in RNAcentral is "bacterial SSU rRNA". It matches the Rfam family "Eukaryotic small subunit ribosomal RNA", at positions 38 to 564 of the family's 1831-position model. Lineage: Eukaryota; Metazoa; Arthropoda; Insecta; Psocodea; Trimenoponidae. The record is from RNAcentral.